GGAAAACACAAAGCAAGAUCCAGGAGGUGAGAGAUCCAGCUUCUGUGUCACUGUUGGCAUCCCAAGAUGCUUUCCUGCUUCUCCUCAACAGUUAAAACUUUUACAUCAUGAACAUCUUUUCCUUAGUGUCCCACCCCCACCCCCAUUCCUUUGGCCUUCUGAGGACCAUCCUUGCAGGAUUCUGAUAGGACCACUUUUAUGCCUGGCUAUAGCUGUACUUGCUUUCAAGUCUCUGUUCCUCACCUCUUAUAUGCCUCCUUUAAAGUCUGAGCUCACUAGAGAGCACCCUAUGAGGCCACAUCACAUGGGUCUUUUUAGAGGCCUCAGCAGAGCCCUUCACAACAGUAUCAUCACCACUGGAGCCUUUCAUUCCUCUUGAGGCCUUUUCAUUUAGCAAUUCCAUAAGGGAUAUAGGAAGGAAGGAAGGGAGGGAGGAAGGAAGGAAGGAAGGAAGGAAGGAAGGAAGGAAGGAAGGAUGGAAGGAAGGAAGGAAGGAAGGAAGGAAGGAAGGAAGGAAGGAAGGAAGGAAGGAAGGAAGGAAGGAAGGAAGGAAGGAAAGAAGGAAGGAAGGAAGGAAGGAAAGAAAAAGAAGGAAGGAAGGAAAGAAAAGGAAGGAAGGAAAAGGAAGGAAGGAAGGAAGGAAGGAAGGAAGGAAGGAAGGAAGGAAGGAAGGAAGGAAGGAAGGAAAAGGGGAAGGAAGGAAGGAAGGAAAGGAAAGGAAGGAAAGGAAGGGGAAAUUGCGCUGUAGCUUGAGAAAAGUUUUGGAUCUGUGGCGGGGGGGGGGGGGGUGACAGAGCUGUUCUGGAGAAAAGAGUACAAGGAUUGGCUUGAGGAGGUGAGGGUUGGGUGAAAUUUGGAGUAGACUAAGUCAAGGUGACUUUUUCCAGUGAUCUUCAUCAGGCCUUGAGCAAGAUGGGAGAAGGCAGAUUGGGGGCGAUCCACAGUCGGUGGUCUAGAGAUCCAAUGAGUCAAUCCACCCACCCACCCGUUCCAAAGACCAUUGGAUGAGGGAUUUAAGGGUCAAGGACUGUGUAGAGUUGAACUGGCUAAACAAAAGGGAGGAGAGGGAGGCCAGAGCACAGAAGGGGACGCCUGGCAGUGCAGGGAGGGCUGAGGGACUUGGGUUGGGGUGGCGAUAGAGAAGGGCUCUGGGAGGGGGAGGAGCAGGGAGAUCUGGAAGGACGGGAGGUUCCGGCCGUGGAGGUGGUGCAUUGGUGAGUGAUGAGCUAAGGUGGUGGAUCAGGAGAGCUGAGGAGGUGAGAAAUGGGAGUGAGUGACCUGGGGGGCUGGACCACUUCCAUGGUCUUGGAGUGGGAUGGAGACCCUGGAAGGAUCACUGAGGAGCAGCCCUCCUGUCCC
RNAcentral lists this long non-coding RNA (1359 nucleotides) under Monodelphis domestica (gray short-tailed opossum). Its description in RNAcentral is "lncRNA (ENSMODG00000042836.1)". Lineage: Eukaryota; Metazoa; Chordata; Mammalia; Didelphimorphia; Didelphidae. The record is from RNAcentral.